Molecule: ribosomal RNA, 468 nt
Filed under: uncultured bacterium
Lineage: Bacteria
Description: partial 16S ribosomal RNA
Rfam family: Bacterial small subunit ribosomal RNA
Source: RNAcentral
GACGAACGCUGGCGGCGUGCUUAACACAUGCAAGUCGAACGGAAAGGCCCUGCUUUUGUGGGGUGCUCGAGUGGCGAACGGGUGAGUAACACGUGAGUAACCUGCCCUUGACUUUGGGAUAACUUCAGGAAACUGGGGCUAAUACCGGAUAGGAGCUCCUGCUGCAUGGUGGGGGUUGGAAAGUUUCGGCGGUUGGGGAUGGACUCGCGGCUUAUCAGCUUGUUGGUGGGGUAGUGGCUUACCAAGGCUUUGACGGGUAGCCGGCCUGAGAGGGUGACCGGCCACAUUGGGACUGGGGUACGGCCCAGACUCCUACGGGGGGGAGGAGUGGGGAAUAUUGCACAAUGGGCGGAAGCCUGAUGCAGCAACGCCGCGUGCGGGAUGACGGCCUUCGGGUUGUAAACCGCUUUCGCCUGUGACGAAGCGUGAGUGACGGUAAUGGGUAAAGAAGCACCGGCUAACUACGUG